RNAcentral lists this ribosomal RNA (2925 nucleotides) under Escherichia coli. RNAcentral describes it as "bacterial LSU rRNA". It matches the Rfam family "Bacterial large subunit ribosomal RNA". The record is from RNAcentral. Lineage: Bacteria; Pseudomonadati; Pseudomonadota; Gammaproteobacteria; Enterobacterales; Enterobacteriaceae.
GGGUUGUGAGGUUAAGCGACUAAGCGUACACGGUGGAUGCCCUGGCAGUCAGAGGCGAUGAAGGACGUGCUAAUCUGCGAUAAGCGUCGGUGAGGUGAUAUGAACCGUUAUAACCGGCGAUUUCCGAAUGGGGAAACCCAGUGUGUUUCGACACACUAUCAUUAACUGAAUCCAUAGGUUAAUGAGGCGAACCGGGGGAACUGAAACAUCUAAGUACCCCGAGGAAAAGAAAUCAACCGAGAUUCCCCCAGUAGCGGCGAGCGAACGGGGAGGAGCCCAGAGCCUGAAUCAGUGUGUGUGUUAGUGGAAGCGUCUGGAAAGGCGUGCGAUACAGGGUGACAGCCCCGUACACAAAAAUGCACAUAUUGUGAGCUCGAUGAGUAGGGCGGGACACGUGGUAUCCUGUCUGAAUAUGGGGGGACCAUCCUCCAAGGCUAAAUACUCCUGACUGACCGAUAGUGAACCAGUACCGUGAGGGAAAGGCGAAAAGAACCCCGGCGAGGGGAGUGAAAAAGAACCUGAAACCGUGUACGUACAAGCAGUGGGAGCCUCUUAAUGGGGUGACUGCGUACCUUUUGUAUAAUGGGUCAGCGACUUAUAUUCUGUAGCAAGGUUAACCGAAUAGGGGAGCCGAAGGGAAACCGAGUCUUAACUGGGCGUUAAGUUGCAGGGUAUAGACCCGAAACCCGGUGAUCUAGCCAUGGGCAGGUUGAAGGUUGGGUAACACUAACUGGAGGACCGAACCGACUAAUGUUGAAAAAUUAGCGGAUGACUUGUGGCUGGGGGUGAAAGGCCAAUCAAACCGGGAGAUAGCUGGUUCUCCCCGAAAGCUAUUUAGGUAGCGCCUCGUGAAUUCAUCUCCGGGGGUAGAGCACUGUUUCGGCAAGGGGGUCAUCCCGACUUACCAACCCGAUGCAAACUGCGAAUACCGGAGAAUGUUAUCACGGGAGACACACGGCGGGUGCUAACGUCCGUCGUGAAGAGGGAAACAACCCAGACCGCCAGCUAAGGUCCCAAAGUCAUGGUUAAGUGGGAAACGAUGUGGGAAGGCCCAGACAGCCAGGAUGUUGGCUUAGAAGCAGCCAUCAUUUAAAGAAAGCGUAAUAGCUCACUGGUCGAGUCGGCCUGCGCGGAAGAUGUAACGGGGCUAAACCAUGCACCGAAGCUGCGGCAGCGACACUAUGUGUUGUUGGGUAGGGGAGCGUUCUGUAAGCCUGUGAAGGUGGCCUGUGAGGGUUGCUGGAGGUAUCAGAAGUGCGAAUGCUGACAUAAGUAACGAUAAAGCGGGUGAAAAGCCCGCUCGCCGGAAGACCAAGGGUUCCUGUCCAACGUUAAUCGGGGCAGGGUGAGUCGACCCCUAAGGCGAGGCCGAAAGGCGUAGUCGAUGGGAAACAGGUUAAUAUUCCUGUACUUGGUGUUACUGCGAAGGGGGGACGGAGAAGGCUAUGUUGGCCGGGCGACGGUUGUCCCGGUUUAAGCGUGUAGGCUGGUUUUCCAGGCAAAUCCGGAAAACCAAGGCUGAGGCGUGAUGACGAGGCACUACGGUGCUGAAGCGACAAAUGCCCUGCUUCCAGGAAAAGCCUCUAAGCAUCAGGUAACAUCAAAUCGUACCCCAAACCGACACAGGUGGUCAGGUAGAGAAUACCAAGGCGCUUGAGAGAACUCGGGUGAAGGAACUAGGCAAAAUGGUGCCGUAACUUCGGGAGAAGGCACGCUGAUAUGUAGGUGAAGCGACUUGCUCGUGGAGCUGAAAUCAGUCGAAGAUACCAGCUGGCUGCAACUGUUUAUUAAAAACACAGCACUGUGCAAACACGAAAGUGGACGUAUACGGUGUGACGCCUGCCCGGUGCCGGAAGGUUAAUUGAUGGGGUUAGCGGUAACGCGAAGCUCUUGAUCGAAGCCCCGGUAAACGGCGGCCGUAACUAUAACGGUCCUAAGGUAGCGAAAUUCCUUGUCGGGUAAGUUCCGACCUGCACGAAUGGCGUAAUGAUGGCCAGGCUGUCUCCACCCGAGACUCAGUGAAAUUGAACUCGCUGUGAAGAUGCAGUGUACCCGCGGCAAGACGGAAAGACCCCGUGAACCUUUACUAUAGCUUGACACUGAACAUUGAGCCUUGAUGUGUAGGAUAGGUGGGAGGCUUUGAAGUGUGGACGCCAGUCUGCAUGGAGCCGACCUUGAAAUACCACCCUUUAAUGUUUGAUGUUCUAACGUUGGCCCGUAAUCCGGGUUGCGGACAGUGUCUGGUGGGUAGUUUGACUGGGGCGGUCUCCUCCUAAAGAGUAACGGAGGAGCACGAAGGUUGGCUAAUCCUGGUCGGACAUCAGGAGGUUAGUGCAAUGGCAUAAGCCAGCUUGACUGCGAGCGUGACGGCGCGAGCAGGUGCGAAAGCAGGUCAUAGUGAUCCGGUGGUUCUGAAUGGAAGGGCCAUCGCUCAACGGAUAAAAGGUACUCCGGGGAUAACAGGCUGAUACCGCCCAAGAGUUCAUAUCGACGGCGGUGUUUGGCACCUCGAUGUCGGCUCAUCACAUCCUGGGGCUGAAGUAGGUCCCAAGGGUAUGGCUGUUCGCCAUUUAAAGUGGUACGCGAGCUGGGUUUAGAACGUCGUGAGACAGUUCGGUCCCUAUCUGCCGUGGGCGCUGGAGAACUGAGGGGGGCUGCUCCUAGUACGAGAGGACCGGAGUGGACGCAUCACUGGUGUUCGGGUUGUCAUGCCAAUGGCACUGCCCGGUAGCUAAAUGCGGAAGAGAUAAGUGCUGAAAGCAUCUAAGCACGAAACUUGCCCCGAGAUGAGUUCUCCCUGAGACUUAGAGUCUCCUGAAGGAACGUUGAAGACGACGACGUUGAUAGGCCGGGUGUGUAAGCGCAGCGAUGCGUUGAGCUAACCGGUACUAAUGAACCGUGAGGCUUAACCUUACAACGCCGAAG